UAUUGAGAGUACCCGAAGAAAAAGCAUCGGCUAACUCCGUGCCAGCAGCCGCGGUAAUACGGAGGAUGCGAGCGUUAUCCGGAUUUAUUGGGUGUAAAGGGCGUGCAGCCGGGAAUGCAAGUCAGAUGUGAAAUCCAUGGGCUUAACCCAUGAACUGCAUUUGAAACUGUAUUUCUUGAGUACUGGAGAGGCAAUCGGAAUUCCUAGUGUAGCGGUGAAAUGCGUAGAUAUUAGGAGGAACACCAGUGGCGAAGGCGGAUUGCUGGACAGCAACUGACGGUGAGGCGCGAAAGUGUGGGGAGCAAACAGGAUUAGAUACCCUGGUAGUCCACACUGUAAACGAUGAAUACUAGGUGUGCGGGGACUGACCCCCUGCGUGCCGCAGUUAACACAAUAAGUAUUCCACCUGGGGAGUACGAUCGCAAGGUUGAAACUCAAAGGAAUUGACGGGGGCCCGCACAAGCGGUGGAUUAUGUGGUUUAAUUCGAAGCAACGCGAAGAACCUUACCAGGGUUUGACAUCCUGCUAACGAAGUAGAGAUACAUUAGGUGCCCUUCGGGGAAAGCAGAGACAGGUGGUGCAUGGUUGUCGUCAGCUCGUGUCGUGAGAUGUUGGGUUAAGUCCCGCAACGAGCGCAACCCCUAUUGUUAGUUGCUACGCAAGAGCACUCUAGCGAGACUGCCGUUGACAAAACGGAGGAAGGUGGGGACGACGUCAAAUCAUCAUGCCCCUUAUAUCCUGGGCUACACACGUAAUACAAUGGCGGUCAACAGAGGGAUGCAAAGCCGCGAGGCAGAGCGAACCCCUAAAAGCCGUCCCAGUUCGGAUCGUGGGCUGCAACUCGCCCACGUGAAGUCGGAAUCGCUAGUAAUCGCGGAUCAGCAUGCCGCGGUGAAUACAAGCCCGGGCCUUGUACACACCGCCCGUCAAG
Molecule: ribosomal RNA, 931 nt
Filed under: uncultured bacterium
Lineage: Bacteria
Description: bacterial SSU rRNA
Rfam family: Bacterial small subunit ribosomal RNA
Source: RNAcentral